RNAcentral lists this transfer RNA (83 nucleotides) under Candidatus Acidifodinimicrobium mancum. RNAcentral describes it as "tRNA-Leu". It matches the Rfam family "tRNA". Rfam says of the family: Transfer RNA (tRNA) molecules are approximately 80 nucleotides in length. Their secondary structure includes four short double-helical elements and three loops (D, anti-codon, and T loops). Further hydrogen bonds mediate the characteristic L-shaped molecular structure. tRNAs have two regions of fundamental functional importance: the anti-codon, which is responsible for specific mRNA codon recognition, and the 3' end, to which the tRNAs corresponding amino acid is attached (by aminoacyl-tRNA synthetases). tRNAs cope with the degeneracy of the genetic code in two manners: having more than one tRNA (with a specific anti-codon) for a particular amino acid; and 'wobble' base-pairing, i.e. permitting non-standard base-pairing at the 3rd anti-codon position. The record is from RNAcentral. Lineage: Archaea; Nanobdellati; Candidatus Parvarchaeota; Candidatus Acidifodinimicrobiaceae.
GCAGGGGUAGCGAAGCGGUCAAACGCGGCAGACUCAAGAUCUGCUCUCUUUGGAGUUCAAGGGUUCAAAUCCCUUCCCCUGCA